This 22-nucleotide non-coding RNA is filed under the name Arabidopsis thaliana (thale cress). Lineage: Eukaryota; Viridiplantae; Streptophyta; Magnoliopsida; Brassicales; Brassicaceae. The record is from RNAcentral.
UUAACUGACCUACCGAGAAUCG